AUUAGAGGAGAUUUUAUUAAGAUGCAGCUGAGGCUGUAGGCAUUUGUUCUGCCAAUAAGCUUGGGGGGUAUUUACAGAAGUUAAAAUGCAGAGCCAGCCAAUAAAUCCAUCCCACGUGUAAUGAAGCGACCUUCCUCGGAAGCAAAGCCCAUCUCCCUGGAAAGCCAGAGAGGCCUUUGUUGGGUUUGCUGAAGCUAACUGCAGCUUGAAAGAUGGCAGCUUUGUCUAAGAGGUUGGAGAAAUUGACUCUAACAAAUGCACCGCGGCUGUUCUGGAUGGCCUAGCAUUAAUAAAGCAAACCAAUUUUGAAUGCCCAAGGCCGGGACUUCAGGGACAGCAGAUGGUGCCCAGGAUACCCAUUCUCACAUUAGCAUGAGAAUAGC
Long non-coding RNA from Oxyura jamaicensis (ruddy duck), 383 nucleotides. RefSeq lists it as uncharacterized. NCBI's taxonomy places the organism in Eukaryota, Metazoa, Chordata, Aves, Anseriformes, Anatidae. The transcript is spliced from 3 exons. The record is from RefSeq and is a predicted model, not a curated record.